CGCGUAGGCGGCCUCUCAAGCGGGAUCUCUAAUCCGAGGGCUCAACCCCCGGCCGGAUCCCGAACUGGGAGGCUCGAGUUCGGUAGAGGCAGGCGGAAUUCCCGGUGUAGCGGUGGAGUGCGCAGAUAUCGGGAAGAACACCGAUGGCGAAGGCAGCCUGCUGGGCCGCAACUGACGCUGAGGCGCGAAAGCUAGGGGAGCGAACA
This 206-nucleotide ribosomal RNA is filed under the name uncultured bacterium. RNAcentral's name for it is "partial 16S ribosomal RNA". It matches the Rfam family "Bacterial small subunit ribosomal RNA", at positions 568 to 774 of the family's 1533-position model. The record is from RNAcentral.